This 301-nucleotide ribosomal RNA is filed under the name uncultured Dyadobacter sp. Its description in RNAcentral is "bacterial SSU rRNA". It matches the Rfam family "Bacterial small subunit ribosomal RNA", at positions 493 to 795 of the family's 1533-position model. Lineage: Bacteria; Pseudomonadati; Bacteroidota; Cytophagia; Cytophagales; Spirosomataceae. The record is from RNAcentral.
ACGUCGUUAGGGGCGAGCGGAGGGGGGAAGACGUAGGUUGCAUGCGGUUAUCGAGAGUCCUGGGGCGAAAGCGUACUAGGGUGGUUAGAUAGGACAGAUGUGAGAUCCCCGGGCUCAACCUGGGAAAUGCAUUUGUGACGGUAUGGCUAGAGUACGGCAUAGGGGGAUGGAAUUCCGCGUGUAGCAGUGAAAUGCGUAGAUAUGCGGAGGAACACCGAUGGCGAAGGCAAUCCCCUGGGCCUGUACUGUCGCUCAUGCACGAAAGCGUGGGGAGCAAACAGGAUUAGAUACCCCGGUAGUC